AACGAACGCUGGUGGCGUGCCUAACACAUGCAAGUCGAACGAGAAAGUUUCCUUCGGGGAAUGAGUAAAGUGGCGCACGGGUGAGUAACACGUGGAUAAUCUGCCUCUGAGCGAGGGAUAACAUCCCGAAAGGGGUGCUAAUACCUCAUAACAUCUUGCGGACUCCGGUCUGCAAGAUCAAAGAUGGCCUCUGGAACAAGCUGUCACUUAGAGAUGAGUCCGCGGCCCAUUAGCUAGUUGGUAGGGUAAUGGCCUACCAAGGCAACGAUGGGUAGCUGGUCUGAGAGGAUGACCAGCCACACUGGAACUGAGACACGGUCCAGACUCCUACGGGUGGCAG
Molecule: ribosomal RNA, 340 nt
Filed under: uncultured Pseudomonadota bacterium
Lineage: Bacteria; Pseudomonadati; Pseudomonadota
Description: bacterial SSU rRNA
Rfam family: Bacterial small subunit ribosomal RNA
Source: RNAcentral